Molecule: ribosomal RNA, 219 nt
Filed under: uncultured bacterium
Lineage: Bacteria
Description: partial 16S ribosomal RNA
Rfam family: Bacterial small subunit ribosomal RNA
Source: RNAcentral
UACGAGGGGGGCAAGCGUUGUUCGGAUUUAUUGGGCGUAAAGGGUGCGUAGGCGGUUUGGCAAGUCUUGUGUGAAAUCUUUGGGCUCAACCCAAAGCCUGCACAAGAAACUGCCGGGCUUGAGUAUGGGAGAGGUGAGUGGAAUUUCCGGUGUAGCGGUGAAAUGCGUAGAUAUCGGAAGGAACACCUGUGGCGAAAGCGGCUCACUGGACCAUUACUG